Non-coding RNA from Punica granatum (pomegranate), 812 nucleotides. The record is from RefSeq and is a predicted model, not a curated record. Lineage: Eukaryota; Viridiplantae; Streptophyta; Magnoliopsida; Myrtales; Lythraceae.
AACACCUCUCUCUUUCUCCCUCUUCCUCUCUAACCCUUUUUGAUUGAAAACAGGGAGGGACUUGAGGACGGAGGAGUUGAGAUCGCAGGAGGCGGAGCGGACGGGCUCGACAUAGAAGACGAGGUGGGUGCGGAGGUUGUGGUAGUUGCAGCGAAGGAACCGGUGGUGGUAGCGGGAGCGAAGGAGAUACUAGCGAUCUUAGAAGUGGAGGAAGGCCAUGAGGACCACGACGAAGAAGAGGAUGACGGUGGCGCCGAGCAUGAUCUGUCUACUGACGACGUAGCAAACAUCCCCCCCCCCCGGGCGAGGGAGAUCGUUGUCGGGGAGCGCGAGAGCAGAUCCAGCUCUGACAAUAUGAACGACACCGCCUCCAAUGACAAUCAGGACGCGGCCGACAAACCCCACAAGGACUGGCGGUAACGCUAACACACUCCCCAGCAAAUCCGGUAGCUUGAGGCGUAUGAACUUCAUGCUCAUCAAUCUCCCUUCAUCUUCAUCCUCUCUCUCCUCCACCACUUCAUUUUCCUUAUUUGUUUUUUUUGUCGAUAAAAAAAAAAUUAGUGGGAUAGAUCAGAGGAGAGGUGAAAAUUCUUUUAAUUUUAUUUUAAUCUUAUUUUAUUAUUUAUUAUAAUUAAAAUUUUAAAAACAAUUUUUUAUUUUAAAUUUUGAGCCAUGUCAGAUGUGCGCAUGAUACGUUAGAAUGCACAUCAACAAGUCGUGACGGCAUUAGACGACAUAUGACGAAGUGCACAUGAUUCGAACAUUUUGUACCAAAUCCUAACAAAAAAUUCAUUUUGUUUAAAGUGUUAUAU